This 1097-nucleotide long non-coding RNA is filed under the name Marmota monax (woodchuck). The record is from RNAcentral. Lineage: Eukaryota; Metazoa; Chordata; Mammalia; Rodentia; Sciuridae.
CCUGUCUGGUCUUGGUUGGAUCAGAGUAGGGAGUCCGAACGGAACUCUGCUUCCUGAUCAUGGUGCACCAUGCUCUUUGCACCCGCUCUUUGCACAGAGACAGAGGAAUGAUUCAGACAUCUCUUCAAGAGAGAUCACUCACAGCAUUAUUCCCCAUGCAAUAAAAGAGAGAUCUGCAAGAUAAGAUCCCAGCAUCUUAGGCUGGAAGCAUCCUGUAGUUCUGCAUCCUUUGUCUUGGGGACAUAUUUUAGGCAGCAACUUCUACUCCUCUGUUGGAAACCUCUCUUGUCAUUGAAGCAGAUUUUGGAGGUGCAUGAAUAUCCAGUUUUUAGACUGAGUGCCCUGAAUAUUGAUGCUAUGUUUAAUUCUAGCUAUUCAAUGAAAUUGUGAUUGAUGCAUACAUGAUAAAACGGGCUUUGAUAGCUUCAUUUUAAUAAUAUUCCUAAGAUAUGUUUUACUCUCUAUUUCCCCCCACAAACACAGACAUUUCUUCCCCAUUUCAAUUUUUUAUAUCCCCCUCUCCCCAAACUAUCCUAUUGUCAGCUUCUGUUGACAAUCCCUCCCCAUUCUCUGUUCCUAUUUGCUCAUGAUCAAGUCUCUGCACUCAGAGAACUCUGUGUGUUUUGGUGUCUAUAAAGCACUUGCUGCCUGAGUUCAAAUCCUGAUUCCAGCACUUAAUGAUAGUAACCUCUUCACACCUCAGUAUCCUCAUCUGUAAGUUGGGACUGAUAAAGAAACUAUGUAAUGGGUUUAUUGGGGGAAGGGUAAUGAAGGUAGAGGAAGCUGACCAUUAAAGAAGCAUUCACUCAACGUUCAUUUUUAGUAAUAUUUCUUAGGUAGAUAGAGGUGCUAACAUUGUCUUGAUAGGAAAUCAGUUCUCAAGAACCUCUGUCCAACUCUAGACUUUGUCACAUGAGGACAAUAUGGAUAACUGACCUCUGGAGUGAAAUCUGCAAGAGGUGACUAGGAAGUGUCAACAGCCCCUCCCUUGCCCAGCACCUUCCAGUUCAGGAAGCUUUUCCGUGUGCCUCAGCCCCUUCCACUUUCCAGCUACUUGACUGUCUGCUCAAAAGACUGAACUUAAAUCACAGACUCAC